This 448-nucleotide ribosomal RNA is filed under the name uncultured bacterium. RNAcentral's name for it is "bacterial SSU rRNA". It matches the Rfam family "Bacterial small subunit ribosomal RNA", at positions 331 to 793 of the family's 1533-position model. The record is from RNAcentral.
CCAGACUCCUACGGGAGGCAGCAGUGGGGAAUAUUGGGCAAUGGGCGCAAGCCUGACCCAGCAACGCCGCGUGAAGGAAGAAGGCUUUCGGGUUGUAAACUUCUUUUCUGAGGGACGAAGAAAGUGACGGUACCUCAGGAAUAAGCCACGGCUAACUACGUGCCAGCAGCCGCGGUAAUACGUAGGGGGCAAGCGUUAUCCGGAUUUACUGGGUGUAAAGGGGGCGCAGACGGCAGCGCAAGCCAGGAGUGAAAGCCCGGGGCCCAACCCCGGGACCGCACCGGAUACUGCCGGACUCGAGUGCCGGAGGGGCAGGCGGAAUUCCUGGUGUAGCGGUGAAAUGCGCAGAUAUCAGGAGGAACACCGGUGGCGAAGGCGGCCUGCUGGACGGUAACUGACGCUGAGGCUCGAAAGCGCGGGGAGCGAACAGGAGUAGAUACCCCCGUAU